This 468-nucleotide ribosomal RNA is filed under the name uncultured bacterium. Its description in RNAcentral is "partial 16S ribosomal RNA". It matches the Rfam family "Bacterial small subunit ribosomal RNA", at positions 28 to 507 of the family's 1533-position model. The record is from RNAcentral.
GACGAACGCUGGCGGCGUGCUUAACACAUGCAAGUCGAACGGAAAGGCCCUGCUUUUGUGGGGUGCUCGAGUGGCGAACGGGUGAGUAACACGUGAGUAACCUGCCCCUGACUUUGGGAUAACUUCAGGAAACUGGGGCUAAUACCGGAUAGGAGCUCCUGCUGCAUGGUGGGGGUUGGAAAGUUUCGGCGGUUGGGGAUGGACUCGCGGCUUAUCAGCUUGUUGGUGGGGUAGUGGCUUACCAAGGCUUUGACGGGUAGCCGGCCUGAGAGGGUGACCGGCCACAUUGGGACUGAGAUACGGCCCAGACUCCUACGGGAGGCAGCAGUGGAGAAUAUUGCACAAUGGGCGGAAGCCUGAUGCAGCAACGCCGCGUGCGGGAUGACGGCCUUCGGGUUGUAAACCGCUUUCGCCUGUGACGAAGCGUGAGUGACGGUAAUGGGUAAAGAAGCACCGGCUAACUACGUG